RNAcentral lists this RNase P RNA (363 nucleotides) under Acidimicrobiales bacterium. RNAcentral describes it as "RNase P RNA component class A". It matches the Rfam family "Bacterial RNase P class A". From Rfam's summary of the family: Ribonuclease P (RNase P) is a ubiquitous endoribonuclease, found in archaea, bacteria and eukarya as well as chloroplasts and mitochondria. Its best characterised activity is the generation of mature 5'-ends of tRNAs by cleaving the 5'-leader elements of precursor-tRNAs. Lineage: Bacteria; Bacillati; Actinomycetota; Acidimicrobiia; Acidimicrobiales. The record is from RNAcentral.
UGAGUCGGCCGGAUGACCGCGGCACCACAUCGAUCGGUUCGCCGGCAGGUGUGGCGCUGAGGAAGGUCGGGACUCCACAGGGCAGGGAGCUGGCGUAACGCCAGGCGGGGCGACCCGACGGAAAGUGCAACAGAGAGAAGACCGCCGAUGGACGGGGAAACCCGUCACAGGUAAGGGUGAAAGGGUGCGGUAAGAGCGCACCGGCACCGGGGGCGACCUCGGUGGCCAGGUAAACCCCUCCCGGAGCAAGGCCGAGCAGGAACCGGGCGGCCCGCCCCAUGGUUCCGGGUAGGCCGCACAGAUGGAUGGUCAUCCAAGCGCUUCGGCGCCGGACAGAAUCCCGCCUACAGGCCGACUCACCAA